This 253-nucleotide ribosomal RNA is filed under the name uncultured bacterium. RNAcentral describes it as "partial 16S ribosomal RNA". It matches the Rfam family "Bacterial small subunit ribosomal RNA", at positions 524 to 776 of the family's 1533-position model. The record is from RNAcentral.
UACGGAGGGUGCAAGCGUUGUCCGGAAUCACUGGGCGUAAAGCGCGCGCAGGCGGCCCGCGAGGUGUCACGUGAAAGCCCCGGGCUCAACCCGGGAGGGUCGUGGCAAACCGGCGGGCUUGAGGCCGGUAGAGGUGGGUGGAACUCCUGGUGGAGUGGUGAAAUGCGUAGAGAUCAGGAAGAACACCCGUGGCGAAGGCGGCCCACUGGGCCGGUACUGACGCUGAGGCGCGAAGGCGUGGGGAGCGAACGGG